AUUGAACGCUGGCGGCAGGCUUAACACAUGCAAGUCGAGCGGGGGAAGGUAGCUUGCUACCGGACCUAGCGGCGGACGGGUGAGUAAUGCUUAGGAAUCUGCCUAUUAGUGGGGGACAACAUCUCGAAAGGGAUGCUAAUACCGCAUACGUCCUACGGGAGAAAGCAGGGGAUCUUCGGACCUUGCGCUAAUAGAUGAGCCUAAGUCGGAUUAGCUAGUUGGUGGGGUAAAGGCCUACCAAGGCGACGAUCUGUAGCGGGUCUAAGAGGAUGAUCCGCCACACUGGGACUGAGACACGGCCCAGACUCCUACGGGAGGCAGCAGUGGGGAAUAUUGGACAAUGGGGGGAACCCUGAUCCAGCCAUGCCGCGUGUGUGAAGAAGGCCUUAUGGUUGUAAAGCACUUUAAGCGAGGAGGAGGCUACUCUAGUUAAUACCUAGGGAUAGUGGACGUUACUCGCAGAAUAAGCACCGGCUAACUCUGUGCCAGCAGCCGCGGUAAUACAGAGGGUGCGAGCGUUAAUCGGAUUUACUGGGCGUAAAGCGUGCGUAGGCGGCUUAUUAAGUCGGAUGUGAAAUCCCCGAGCUUAACUUGGGAAUUGCAUUCGAUACUGGUGAGCUAGAGUAUGGGAGA
RNAcentral lists this ribosomal RNA (633 nucleotides) under Acinetobacter baumannii Canada BC-5. RNAcentral's name for it is "bacterial SSU rRNA". It matches the Rfam family "Bacterial small subunit ribosomal RNA", at positions 28 to 655 of the family's 1533-position model. Lineage: Bacteria; Pseudomonadati; Pseudomonadota; Gammaproteobacteria; Moraxellales; Moraxellaceae. The record is from RNAcentral.